Macrobrachium nipponense is the source of this 913-nucleotide long non-coding RNA. RefSeq lists it as uncharacterized. The record is from RefSeq and is a predicted model, not a curated record. The transcript has 2 exons. NCBI's taxonomy places the organism in Eukaryota, Metazoa, Arthropoda, Malacostraca, Decapoda, Palaemonidae.
AGAUUUUAUAGAAAAUUUAUUUAUUUGCCUAUUAAAGUAGUCCUUUAAACCCCCGUGCCAUACUAAGCAAAUUCUAAAAGGAACAUGGGAGUUUAAAGGAUUGCGCAACACCUAGAUGGCUCUGCUGGCUCUUUUACCUGUUUCAGUUCGUCCUCCUCAUCCUUGAUUUUUUAUGGAAGGACGACGGCCUUUGCAUUUCGCGAUUCUUGGAGGAGAAAAAAAUGUCUACCUCGACCCGCAACGAAGCAGAAAAAGCAGUUCAAGCUCAGGUUCCAACUUGGAACCACUGGAUAACCUUUUGAAGAUAACUGGUGAACUCUACUCCCUCGCAAGAGAAUGCUUUUUAUAAUUGAAGAAGCAUCUACAUUAACUAUGUAACGUUUCUUGCCGACCCACCUGUCUCUGCCUCUUCCGUCGUCGUCUUUGAAGCCAACGUCAACACUUCUAUGGAGUCAAUGGUUGAACCUUUCCUGCCCAGUAAGUUUCCUACGAUUUGUGGCGUAUGGUAAAGCUUAGGUUAGGGGGUUUUUAAUUUUUCUUAAUUAAUACCACGCUUUCAGAACCUGUAAAUUUUCUAUGGAUUCUUGUGUUUAUUUUGCUAUCUAUAAAGGUGUAUAUUUAUUGGAACUUUGUUAUUACCAUUUGUGUAAUUACUCUUUUGAUUUUUAGGCAGUUGCUAAUUGUUAAGGAGGACAGUGGUUUAGUGGAAGACACUGAUUCAAUUUCUUGUUCUUUCACGCAACUGAUUUAGAAUCCAUAGGUUUUCAAAAAUUUCCAUGAGUGAAGGUCUUUCCACCACAAGCAAUAGUUGUCUAUUUAUGAUUAGCGAUUGGGAACAGGACUUCAGCCAUCGGAGUUGUAUCUAUGCCAUUUCGUAAUCUUAACUUUCAUACGAAUAAAUAAUUUUAAAGAA